This 313-nucleotide ribosomal RNA is filed under the name uncultured bacterium. Its description in RNAcentral is "bacterial SSU rRNA". It matches the Rfam family "Bacterial small subunit ribosomal RNA", at positions 28 to 334 of the family's 1533-position model. The record is from RNAcentral.
GAUGAACGCUGGCGGCGUGCCUAAUACAUGCAAGUCGAGCGAACCGACGAGGUGCUUGCACCUUUGACGUUAGCGGCGAACGGGUGAGUAACACGUAAGGAAUCUACCUAUAAGUGGGGGAUAACAUCCGGAAACGGGUGCUAAUACCGCAUAAUGCGAAUUUGUCGCAUGACAGAUUCGUCAAAGGAGCAAUCCGCUUAAAGAUGGGCUCAUAUCUGAUUAGGUAGUUGGAGAGGUAACGGCUCACCAAGCCUACGAUCAGUAGCCGGACUGAGAGGUUGAACGGCCACAUUGGAACUGAGAUACGGUCCAG